GAACUGGAGAGUUUGAUCCUGGCUCAGAUUGAACGCUGGCGGUAGGCCUAACACAUGCAAGUCGAACGGUAACGGACCGCUGGGAUUCCUUCGGGAUGACCUUGGUGCCGACGAGUGGCGGACGGGUGAGUAACACGUA
RNAcentral lists this ribosomal RNA (139 nucleotides) under Arenicellales bacterium. RNAcentral's name for it is "partial 16S ribosomal RNA". It matches the Rfam family "Bacterial small subunit ribosomal RNA", at positions 1 to 119 of the family's 1533-position model. Lineage: Bacteria; Pseudomonadati; Pseudomonadota; Gammaproteobacteria; Arenicellales. The record is from RNAcentral.